AUGUUCGAACUUCGAACCCAAGACGCCACUGCUUCUUCUAGGUCCCGCAGCUUGAUCCCGCCAAGGCUGGAGGAGGAAGCAGAGAGGGAGAUGGGAGAGGGAGAGGAGAUCUCGGCCUGCACACUGCACCUCACGUCUCCCACAAGCUACAACAAUGGGAGAACCGUAUACACAGCAUCCUUCUCAAAGCCUGCAGCUACUGCCUCCCCAAGCAAUGCCAACCUGCAGCAACAAGAGGCUUACAUCCUUGUGAUUCCUCAUGACUCGGAAGGAGGAGCGCGGGCCGUAGAGUUGGAAGAGCAGGUUGAGACAGCCAUGGCGCCUGCUGCAAUGACCACGACCACUACAUGA
Molecule: ribosomal RNA, 351 nt
Filed under: Triticum aestivum (bread wheat)
Lineage: Eukaryota; Viridiplantae; Streptophyta; Magnoliopsida; Poales; Poaceae
Description: partial small subunit ribosomal RNA
Source: RNAcentral